AGCACAGGUUUACCUGUGUGACUGCGUACCUUUUGUAUAAUGGGUCAGCGACUUAUAUUCUGUAGCAAGGUUAACCGAAUAGGGGAGCCGGAGGGAAACCGAGUCUUAAUUGGGCGUUAAGUUGCAGGGUAUAGACCCGAAACCCGGUGAUCUAGCCAUGGGCAGGUUGAAGGUUGGGUAACACUAACUGGAGGACCGAACCGACUAAUGUUGAAAAAUUAGCGGAUGACCUGUGGCUGGGGGUGAAAGGCCAAUCAAACCGGGAGAUAGCUGGUUCUCCCCGAAAGCUAUUUAGGUAGCGCCUCGUGAAUUCAUCUCCGGGGGUAGAGCACUGUUUCGGCUAGGGGGCCAUCCCGGCUUACCAACCCGAUGCAAACUGCGAAUACCGGAGAAUGUUAUCACGGGAGACACACGGCGGGUGCUAACGUCCGUCGUGAAGAGGGAAACAACCCAGACCGCCAGCUAAGGUCCCAAAGUCAUGGUUAAGUGGGAAACGAUGUGGGAAGGCCCAGACAGCCAGGAUGUUGGCUUAGAAGCAGCCAUCAUUUAAAGAAAGCGUAAUAGCUCACUGGUCGAGUCGGCCUGCGCGGAAGAUGUAACGGGGCUAAACCAUGCACCGAAGCUGCGGCAGCGACACUGUGUGUUGUUGGGUAGGGGAGCGUUCUGUAAGCCUGCGAAGGUGGCCUGUGAGGGUUGCUGGAGGUAUCAGAAGUGCGAAUGCUGACAUAAGUAACGAUAAAGCGGGUGAAAAGCCCGCUCGCCGGAAGACCAAGGGUUCCUGUCCAACGUUAAUCGGGGCAGGGUGAGUCGACCCCUAAGGCGAGGCCGAAAGGCGUAGUCGAUGGGAAACGGGUUAAUAUUCCCGUACUUGGUGUUACUGCGAAGGGGGGACGGAGAAGGCUAUGUUGGCCGGGCGACGGUUGUCCCGGUUUAAGCGUGUAGGUGUGUGUUCCAGGUAAAUCCGGUUCACUUUAACACUGAGGCGUGACGACGAGGCACUACGGUGCUGAAGCAACAAAUGCCCUGCUUCCAGGAAAAGCCUCUAAGCAUCAGGUAACAUCAAAUCGUACCCCAAACCGACACAGGUGGUCAGGUAGAGAAUACCAAGGCGCUUGAGAGAACUCGGGUGAAGGAACUAGGCAAAAUGGUGCCGUAACUUCGGGAGAAGGCACGCUGACACGUAGGUGAAGUGAUUUACUCAUGGAGCUGAAGUCAGUCGAAGAUACCAGCUGGCUGCAACUGUUUAUUAAAAACACAGCACUGUGCAAACACGAAAGUGGACGUAUACGGUGUGACGCCUGCCCGGUGCCGGAAGGUUAAUUGAUGGGGUCAGCGCAAGCGAAGCUCCUGAUCGAAGCCCCGGUAAACGGCGGCCGUAACUAUAACGGUCCUAAGGUAGCGAAAUUCCUUGUCGGGUAAGUUCCGACCUGCACGAAUGGCGUAAUGAUGGCCAGGCUGUCUCCACCCGAGACUCAGUGAAAUUGAACUCGCUGUGAAGAUGCAGUGUACCCGCGGCAAGACGGAAAGACCCCGUGAACCUUUACUAUAGCUUGACACUGAACAUUGAGCCUUGAUGUGUAGGAUAGGUGGGAGGCUUUGAAGUGUGGACGCCAGUCUGCAUGGAGCCGACCUUGAAAUACCACCCUUUAAUGUUUGAUGUUCUAACGUGGACCCGUUACCCGGGUUGCGGACAGUGUCUGGUGGGUAGUUUGACUGGGGCGGUCUCCUCCUAAAGAGUAACGGAGGAGCACGAAGGUUGGCUAAUCCUGGUCGGACAUCAGGAGGUUAGUGCAAUGGCAUAAGCCAGCUUGACUGCGAGCGUGACGGCGCGAGCAGGUGCGAAAGCAGGUCAUAGUGAUCCGGUGGUUCUGAAUGGAAGGGCCAUCGCUCAACGGAUAAAAGGUACUCCGGGGAUAACAGGCUGAUACCGCCCAAGAGUUCAUAUCGACGGCGGUGUUUGGCACCUCGAUGUCGGCUCAUCACAUCCUGGGGCUGAAGUAGGUCCCAAGGGUAUGGCUGUUCGCCAUUUAAAGUGGUACGCGAGCUGGGUUUAGAACGUCGUGAGACAGUUCGGUCCCUAUCUGCCGUGGGCGCUGGAGAACUGAGGGGGGCUGCUCCUAGUACGAGAGGACCGGAGUGGACGCAUCACUGGUGUUCGGGUUGUCAUGCCAAUGGCACUGCCCGGUAGCUAAAUGCGGAAGAGAUAAGUGCUGAAAGCAUCUAAGCACGAAACUUGCCCCGAG
RNAcentral lists this ribosomal RNA (2243 nucleotides) under Salmonella enterica subsp. enterica serovar Enteritidis. Its description in RNAcentral is "partial 23S ribosomal RNA". It matches the Rfam family "Bacterial large subunit ribosomal RNA", at positions 578 to 2803 of the family's 2925-position model. Lineage: Bacteria; Pseudomonadati; Pseudomonadota; Gammaproteobacteria; Enterobacterales; Enterobacteriaceae. The record is from RNAcentral.